This 497-nucleotide ribosomal RNA is filed under the name uncultured bacterium. RNAcentral's name for it is "partial 16S ribosomal RNA". It matches the Rfam family "Bacterial small subunit ribosomal RNA", at positions 28 to 507 of the family's 1533-position model. The record is from RNAcentral.
GAUGAACGCUGGCGGCGUGCCUAACACAUGCAAGUCGAACGAACAGACGAUGAGCUUGCUCCUCUAACGUUGGCGGCGGACGGGUGAGUAACGUGUGCAUCACCCACCUUUUAGACUGGGAUAACUUCGUGAAACCGGUGCUAAUACUGGACAAUAUAUUCAACGGCAGGGUUCAAUAGUUAAAGACGUUUUUGCUGUCACUUAUAGCUAGCUCCGCGUUGCAUUAGCUAGUUGGUAAGGUAACGGCGUACCAAGGCGACGGUGCGUAGCCGACCCGGGAAGGUGAACGGGCACACUGGAACUGAGAGACGGUCCAGGCUCCUACGGGGGGCCGCAGUAGGGAAUCGUGGGAAAUGGGGGGAAGCCUGAAGGAGGGACGCCGGGUGGGUGAAGAAGGGCCUCGGGUCGUAAAACGCUGUUAUUAGGGAAAAACAAUUGUGUAAGUAACUAUGCACUUCUUGACGGUACCUAAACAGAAAGCCACGGCUAACUACGUG